GGCCUCCCUCUGUGGGGGGAUCGAUUGUGGGGCCCCCCGAUCGAUCGCCCAGCAGAGGGAGGCC
This is a non-coding RNA of Myotis brandtii (Brandt's bat), 64 nucleotides long. Lineage: Eukaryota; Metazoa; Chordata; Mammalia; Chiroptera; Vespertilionidae. The record is from Rfam.